Orbilia javanica is the source of this 149-nucleotide non-coding RNA. The record is from the annotation of a GenBank genome assembly. NCBI's taxonomy places the organism in Eukaryota, Fungi, Ascomycota, Orbiliomycetes, Orbiliales, Orbiliaceae.
GCGGGUUUAGCUCAGUUGGUAAGCUUCUAAUCUCACUCAACACUACUCAAACAACACCGUCUAACAAUCUUCUUAGGGAGAGCAUUCGACUGAAGUCACACUUCAAUCAAUAAAUCGAAAGGUCGUGUGUUCGAUCCACACAAACCGCA